Molecule: ribosomal RNA, 862 nt
Filed under: Trichoderma hamatum
Lineage: Eukaryota; Fungi; Ascomycota; Sordariomycetes; Hypocreales; Hypocreaceae
Description: eukaryotic LSU rRNA
Rfam family: Eukaryotic large subunit ribosomal RNA (bases 646-862)
Source: RNAcentral
UGAGGCGUCCGGACUGGCCCAGAGAGGUGGGCAACUACCACUCAGGGCCGGAAAGCUCUCCAAACUCGGUCAUUUAGAGGAAGUAAAAGUCGUAACAAGGUCUCCGUUGGUGAACCAGCGGAGGGAUCAUUACCGAGUUUACAACUCCCAAACCCAAUGUGAACGUUACCAAACUGUUGCCUCGGCGGGGUCACGCCCCGGGUGCGUAAAAGCCCCGGAACCAGGCGCCCGCCGGAGGAACCAACCAAACUCUUUCUGUAGUCCCCUCGCGGACGUAUUUCUUACAGCUCUGAGCAAAAAUUCAAAAUGAAUCAAAACUUUCAACAACGGAUCUCUUGGUUCUGGCAUCGAUGAAGAACGCAGCGAAAUGCGAUAAGUAAUGUGAAUUGCAGAAUUCAGUGAAUCAUCGAAUCUUUGAACGCACAUUGCGCCCGCCAGUAUUCUGGCGGGCAUGCCUGUCCGAGCGUCAUUUCAACCCUCGAACCCCUCCGGGGGGUCGGCGUUGGGGAUCGGGACCCCUCACCGGGUGCCGGCCCUGAAAUACAGUGGCGGUCUCGCCGCAGCCUCUCCUGCGCAGUAGUUUGCACAACUCGCACCGGGAGCGCGGCGCGUCCACGUCCGUAAAACACCCAACUUCUGAAAUGUUGACCUCGGAUCAGGUAGGAAUACCCGCUGAACUUAAGCAUAUCAAUAAGCGGAGGAAAAGAAACCAACAGGGAUUGCCCCAGUAACGGCGAGUGAAGCGGCAACAGCUCAAAUUUGAAAUCUGGCCCCUCCGGGUCCGAGUUGUAAUUUGUAGAGGAUGCUUUUGGUGAGGUGCCGCCCGAGUUCCCUGGAACGGGACGCCACAGAGGGUGAGAGC